UUAUAAAUUACCUUGUUGCAGUGUAAAUAUCAAACAAUCUCUUUAAAUGACAGCAAUGGACAGCAGAACCCGUACAAAAGAUUAAACUGUAAAAAAUUUGACUGUCAAGGCUUGGAAAUAGAUCCUAUUUAAGACAAAAAGAAUCAUUAGAGGAUUCCAUUCUCUCUCUUCAAAUGAUUUGCCAGAAUGGAUAUAAGUAGAGGUGGCCAAUGGGCCGGACGACACGAGGCACGGGCACGACACGUGUCCAUACAGUACAACACGGCACGAACACGUUAGAGCACGCGGCAUGGCACGGCACGCACGUGGGUCGUGCUGGGCUUAGAUUUUAGACACGUGGGCUUUAAAAGCACGACACGAUUAGAGAUUGGCCAAAGCACGGCACGCAAAAAAACACGCAAUAAGCACGUUUCAUUUUUUAAUGAAAGUAAACUUAAAAUUUUAUGAUUUUAUAAAUAACUUGAAAUUGAAUCUUUAAUAUAUUUUAUUGGUUCAAGUUUUUUAA
Molecule: long non-coding RNA, 505 nt
Filed under: Citrus x clementina
Lineage: Eukaryota; Viridiplantae; Streptophyta; Magnoliopsida; Sapindales; Rutaceae
Description: Citrus clementina (C. clementina) long non-coding RNA (CCLE_LNC001783)
Source: RNAcentral